Molecule: long non-coding RNA, 770 nt
Organism: Bos taurus (domestic cattle)
Lineage: Eukaryota; Metazoa; Chordata; Mammalia; Artiodactyla; Bovidae
Source: Ensembl
CACUCCCCAACCCCCUCUCUCGCCAACACCCAAAACAAACCAAUGCGCCCUGGCCACUGUCCUGUUUAGCAAGCUCCAGUGUCACGUUUCAGGAUGACAGGUAAACACAGGUAAGAUAAGGCCUCUUGUGAGACCUGAAGAGCCAGAUGGAAUGUAUGCCCAGAGAAAUUCCCGGUGUCAAGAUUGAGCCACAGGAUGAAUCACCUUCUUCCCAGCCCUACCUGCAGCUGUGUGAGCCCCUCACACCAUAGCCAUCCCAGCCUGGGGAAGAUGGAGGAAGACAGGACAGCCUUGUCCUGACCCCCAAGGGGCCCAGCAAUGCCGCCCUCCACGCUCUGGCUGUAUCUGCAUCACCUCCUUUCUGGUCCUGGAGUGAUUCAGGUUCCUGAACGCACCCGAGAGGGACCCGAGGCGAUUGGCCUCCAUCACGCCGCAGAGCUCCCUUUGGCUGGAAAGCCCGGACUCUUGGCGCCCCUCCCGGCUAGGACAUGAGCCUCGGGAGGCACCCACGCGUGUGCAGGGCCCGCGUGUGCAGACGCGGCUCCGGAGGACCUUCCCACUGACCCGAUGGACAUGAGUUGGAGCAAACUCCGGGAGAGGCCGCAGGACAGGGAAGCCUGGCGUGCUGCAGUCCGUGGGGCCGCAGAGUUGGACACAACUGAGCUACAAGACGACACGUGAUAGUAGGGCUUCCCUGGUGGCUCAGAUGGUAAAGAAUCUGCCUGCAAUGUGGGAGACCUGGGUUCGAUCCCUGGGUCAGGAAGAUCCCC